RNAcentral lists this ribosomal RNA (699 nucleotides) under Pseudomonas aeruginosa. RNAcentral's name for it is "bacterial SSU rRNA". It matches the Rfam family "Bacterial small subunit ribosomal RNA", at positions 105 to 811 of the family's 1533-position model. The record is from RNAcentral. Lineage: Bacteria; Pseudomonadati; Pseudomonadota; Gammaproteobacteria; Pseudomonadales; Pseudomonadaceae.
GGUGAGUAAUGCCUAGGAAUCUGCCUGGUAGUGGGGGAUAACGUCCGGAAACGGGCGCUAAUACCGCAUACGUCCGAGGGAGAAAGUGGGGGAUCUUCGGACCUCACGCUAUCAGAUGAGCCUAGGUCGGAUUAGCUAGUUGGUGGGGUAAGGCCUACCAAGGCGACGAUCCGUAACUGGUCUGAGAGGAUGAUCAGUCACACUGGAACUGAGACACGGUCCAGAUCCUACGGGAGGCAGCAGUGGGGAAUAUUGGACAAUGGGCGAAAGCCUGAUCCAGCCAUGCCGCGUGUGUGAAGAGGUCUUCGGAUUGUAAAGCACUUUAAGUUGGGAGGAAGGGCAGUAAGUUAAUACCUUGCUGUUUUGACGUUACCACAGAAUAAGCACCGGCUAACUUCGUGCCAGCAGCCGCGGUAAUACGAAGGGUGCAAGCGUUAAUCGGAAUUACUGCGUAAAGCGCGCGUAGGUGGUUCAGCAAGUUGGAUGUGAAAUCCCCGGGCUCAACCUGGGAACUGCAUCCAAAACACUGAGCUAGAGUACGGUAGAGGGUGGUGGAAUUUCCUGUGUAGCGGUGAAAUGCGUAGAUAUAGGAAGGAACACAGUGGCGAAGGCGACCACCUGGACUGAUACUGACACUGAGGUGCGAAAGCGUGGGGAGCAAACAGGAUUAGAUACGGGUAGUCCACGCCGUAAACGAUG